AACGCACCUUGCGCCCCUUGGCAUUCCGAGGGGCACGCCUGUUUGAGUGUCGUGAACUCCUCCACCCUCCACCUUUUUCGGAAGGCGUUGGGCUGGGAUUUGGGAGCUUGCGGGUCCCUGGCCGAUCCGCUCUCCUUGAAUACAUUAGCGAAGCCCUUGCGGCCUUGGUGUGAUAGUCAUCUACGCCUCGGUUUAGCGAAUACAUGGGAAUUGCUUCCAACCGUCUUGCAAGAGACAAUCACUUCAAACUUGACCUCAAAUCAGGCGGGACUACCCGCUGAACUUAA
This 287-nucleotide unclassified non-coding RNA is filed under the name uncultured Peniophora. RNAcentral's name for it is "sequence contains ITS2". The stretch from base 1 to 52 matches the Rfam family "5.8S ribosomal RNA", at positions 103 to 154 of the family's 154-position model. Lineage: Eukaryota; Fungi; Basidiomycota; Agaricomycetes; Russulales; Lachnocladiaceae. The record is from RNAcentral.